RNAcentral lists this ribosomal RNA (387 nucleotides) under uncultured bacterium. RNAcentral describes it as "bacterial SSU rRNA". It matches the Rfam family "Bacterial small subunit ribosomal RNA", at positions 28 to 417 of the family's 1533-position model. The record is from RNAcentral.
GAUAAACGCUGGCGGCGUGCCUAACACAUGCAAGUCGAACGUCCUCUCUCGCAAGAGAGAGGGAGUGGCGGACGGGUGAGUAACACAUGGGUCACCUACCCUUAAGUGAGGAAUACCGGCGAGAAAUCGCCGACAAGACCGCAUAGGCUCUCUCUUUUGCAAGAGAGAGCAAAGCUUCGCAAGAGGCGCUUGAGGAUGGGGCCUGUGGCCGAUUAGCUGGUUGGAGGGUAAUGGCUUACCAAGGCGACGAUCGGUAGCUGGUCUGAGAGGACGAUCAGCCACACUGGGAUUGAGACACGGCCCAGACUCCUACGGAGGCAGCAGUGGGGAAUCUUGCGCAAUGCGGGAAACCGUGACGCAGCGACGCCGUGUGCGGGAAGAAGGCCU